Non-coding RNA from Sus scrofa (pig), 3033 nucleotides. The record is from RefSeq and is a predicted model, not a curated record. NCBI's taxonomy places the organism in Eukaryota, Metazoa, Chordata, Mammalia, Artiodactyla, Suidae.
AAACUUCUUUGUAAAUCUGGUUUUCUGUAAAUCUUUUGUUUCUACUACCUGUCCUUUUUUUGGCAAAAAGCUCCUAUGUAUCCUAGCUUCCCCCCACCUCCACUUCUUCAGAGUCAUUUCUCAGGGCUAAAGCCCUAAUAUCACCCCAAAUAAAACUUCACUCUCAACUUUCAGGUGGUGCAAUUUUUUUAAGUUGACAGAUGGAAGAAAUUCUAUAUCUAGUUAUAGCCACUUAGAAAAAUAAAUCAGCUGCUUGGUUUUAAAAAACAAAUUACUCAAAUCAUUUUGAUAGGGAUGGAGUGGGAUAGUUAUACAGGUAUUUGUAGGGAACCACAGAGAAGGAAACCUGGGGAAUUAGGGGAGACCACUGUAAGUUAAUAAUUGCUCAAGAAAAGCCAUCAGAAAGAAGCAGUCUUGCUUAACUGUAAAACCACAAAUAAAAUCACUAGAUAUGCAUCAGUUCAUUAAGAGAAAGAUAAAAUGAGGCCUGCAUUCAAGUUCAGCAAGACAAUGACCCUUAGGACAAAGGACAAGGAUUUAAGGGAAAGAUGACAUUCCAAACUAGGAGACCGUCAUUAUAGAGAAACCUGAGAUGAUUCAACGUCUUUUAGCAGAUGUUACUACCCUUCUGCUGAUUUGAAUAAAUGCCACGAUGGUCCUAGUUUGACCUCAUAGGGUCAAAAACUCUCUUACCAGCUAUGAAGGAGGAGCUAAUGACGUAAGCCUGACGUCUACUUGAAAGGAAGAGGAAGAGGCGGUCUUUUCCCCACCUCCCACCUCCCCUUGGAUUAUAAAAGAGUAGCCAACCUACUUCUUGGGGCAGAGCUUCCUUGCAUCUCUCACAAGCAUUUUAUCUCAAUAAGUCAAUCUCUUUCUUGCCUAUCACUUUGUUCCUGGCUGAAUACCUUCUGUGGGGAGGCACAAAGAACCUGAACCUCAGUAAGUUCAGAACCAGAUGUUUCCAAGAUACAUCUGCAGAUGUUUUCAUUAUGGAUUUUACCCCACGGGCCAAGCUUGUUUUUAAACAUGUCUUACGGACUCUUCAUCUCACCCAUGCCAUGUCAAUUUUAUUAGUUUUCCACAUACACAGAUGAAUACAUUUAAGUCACAUAGAUGCUAAGCAGCAGAGAAGAAUUAAGACACAGGCAGAAUCUGCUGAAAUCCUUUGAUCUACAACAGAAUUAUUUACAGUUGAAAGCAGCUGACCACUCUGCCCAACUUUCAUAGGCCCAAAGUCAUUAAGAACCUAGUCAGCCUCCUCUCCCAGGCAUCUGGCAGUCUCCCCUGAUGUAUGCAUUCAGCACAAAUACUUCAGCCUCUGCCAAGUAACAAGCUUGUCCAACAAAAAGAAAAUAAGAGCCUUAAAAUGCUUGGCAAGCAAAGAAAAAAACAAAACAAAAAACCCCAGCACCUUGAAGUCACCUAUGGAUUCAAGAGAAAAAUACAGUGAUAAAGAUGCCCUGAUAAAAUUGUAUAUCAGUGAAAAUGGAAAACCAAUAGAUACUAACAGAUCGUCACCAAAUUAUAAAUAUCAACCUCAAAGCCAACAGUAUAAAACGAAGCACCACACUACUUGCAAUUUCAAUACCACCCUCCAGCUUCCCCUCUUGUUCUUACAGUCAUCAAGACCAUGAAUCAACACAAAAAGCAUGAGGAGCCCUCCUAAUAUGCCAGAGGCCUUCAUUACUUCAGCUCUGGAUCCAAGGUUUCAUGGGAAACAGGAAUUUGAGGAAAGUGGGCACCGCAGGUGUUUAUAGACCCCUUGUCUCCUCAGCUGUGGGUGAUGAUCCAGAACACACACUUGGCUUUUCCUCCUCACCGCUGAAAGUGUUAUAAUCAUGGCUCAGAGAAUCAGAACCUAAAUACGGAGAAAGUAGUUCUAGACGGCACCUCUCCAUUCAUGUCUUCCCCAAGCUUAAGGAUCUGUCUGAAAUGGUGCCUUAUGUAAUAUUUGAUACGUGUCUAAUGGAAUGUGAAGAGCAGAGCUUGACAGGAUGAUUUGAGGAGAUUCAAGGGAGUAGUGCAGAAGAAUUAUUUAUGAUUUGAUUGAUAACACUGUUUAUCAUGACCAUUUUGGGGUCUUGUGAAAAACACCAAUUCCCUGGCCACACAGCCAAUGUUUCUGAUCCAGUUGACUGACUAAUCCAUCUCUCUAACAAGCUCCAGGAGAUCUGAUUCAGCUACUUUAUCCUUCGUUAAUGUUGCCGUAUACUCUACCUAGAACCUCCAACUUGGAGUUGAGUAAAAUGUUAACAGUGGGUACUUUCAUCUUAUUCCUGAUCUCAGAGGUAAAGUCAUGAACAUUUACCUUCAUGAUACUGGAUCCAAAACAACGACCUCUCAGGUUACAGAAAAGAAGAGGAAACUGGGCUGCUCAUGUGACUUUAUGGCUCACAGACAGCUCGGGUGUUGCAUCAACUCACAGCAUCAGCUGUUACCACAUACUCAACCCAUUUUCCUAAAACGCCAUUCUCUACUGACCACAUGGACUUGAAAAUUCAACAAAGUAAAACGUGAAGAUUAGUUUUGCCAGAGCCGUGUUUCCUCUUUGGGUCUAUGGUAGUGACAGGAGAGAAAGUAUGUGUAAUUCUCACACCAUUUAUUUUUUAGGCUCUCAGUCCUUGUGUGGGUAAUUUGAGCAGCACCAGGAGACCCCGUCUGACUUUCUGAUGUGUUCAAAUCCACGCACAAUCUUCCUGGCAUUCAGCAUCAUGGCAAUCCAUCUUAUUCCCUCCAUCUCUACCCCAGCUCCCAUCUCCACUUUCCUCUACAACACCCGAUUUCCAUUCUUCUCUUACAUUUAUACUCACUCUUUCAAGUUCUUUCUUCUCAUCCUCUCUUUUUCUUAAUUGAAGUAUAGUUGAUACACUAUAUAAAUUACAGGUGUAUAAUGUAGUGAUUCUCAAUUAUAAAAGAUUGUGUUCCAUUUAUAAUUAAUAUAAAAUAUUUGCUAUAUUCCCCAUUUUGUACAAUAUGUCAUUGUAGCUUUCUUUAUACCUAAUAGUUUGUACCUUUUAAUUCCCUGCUCCUAUA